This 301-nucleotide ribosomal RNA is filed under the name uncultured bacterium. RNAcentral describes it as "partial 16S ribosomal RNA". It matches the Rfam family "Bacterial small subunit ribosomal RNA", at positions 509 to 807 of the family's 1533-position model. The record is from RNAcentral.
CAGCCGCCACGGUAAUACGAAGGGGGCUAGCGUUGCUCGGAAUUACUGGGCGUAAAGGGAGCGUAGGCGGACAUUUAAGUCAGGGGUGAAAUCCCAGAGCUCAACUCUGGAACUGCCUUUGAUACUGGGUGUCUUGAGUGUGAUAGAGGUAUGUGGAACUCCGAGUGUAGAGGUGAAAUUCGUAGAUAUUCGGAAGAACACCAGUGGCGAAGGCGACAUACUGGAUCAUUACUGACGCUGAGGCUCGAAAGCGUGGGGAGCAAACAGGAUUAGAGACCCGAGUAGUCCCUGUCUCUUAUAC